This 137-nucleotide small nuclear RNA is filed under the name Catagonus wagneri (Chacoan peccary). RNAcentral's name for it is "U2 spliceosomal RNA (ENSCWAG00000003630.1)". It matches the Rfam family "U2 spliceosomal RNA". From Rfam's summary of the family: U2 is a small nuclear RNA (snRNA) component of the spliceosome (involved in pre-mRNA splicing). Complementary binding between U2 snRNA (in an area lying towards the 5' end but 3' to hairpin I) and the branchpoint sequence (BPS) of the intron results the bulging out of an unpaired adenosine, on the BPS, which initiates a nucleophilic attack at the intronic 5' splice site, thus starting the first of two transesterification reactions that mediate splicing. Lineage: Eukaryota; Metazoa; Chordata; Mammalia; Artiodactyla; Tayassuidae. The record is from Rfam by way of RNAcentral.
AUUGCUUCUCAGCCUUUUGGCUAAGAUCAAGUGUAGAAAUAAUGUUAAAAAAGUGAUUGAUUCUAUAGAUGACCUAUCUCUUGCUCAGGAGGAUUACUGAUAAAUUGGACAUUUAUUCUUAAAUCAACUUAGCAAUC